CUUUGAACAAGUCUCUUGACCUUCCUGGUUUUCUAUUCCCUUAUCUGCAAAGUGAUGAUUUAGACUAGAUGGCCUUUCAGGUUUCUUCUAGCUCUGAUAAUUUUUUACUUUGAGAUUGCAAAAUGUCUUCUGUUUUACCUUCAGUGCUCUGGCAUUUAAAAAACAGAAAACAAAUAUGACAACAAUAAAAAAGGCCAUGUGAAGAUGUGCCUGCUUCCCCUUUGUCUUCCAUCAUGAUUGUAAGUUUCCUGAGGCCUCCUCAGAAGCAGAAGCCUGUACAGCCCACAGAAGAGUGAGCCAAUUAUGCCUCUUUUCUUUAUAAAUUACCCAUUCUCAGAUGGGAUCUCAUUAUGUUGCCCAGGCUGGUCUUGAACUCCUAAACUCAAGUGAUCCUCCUGCCUUGGCCUCCCAAAGUGCUGGGAUUACAGGUGUGAGCCACCAUCCCUAGCCACUAUAUCUUCUUUCUUUCUAAAUUAAAUUUAUAAGAAUAUAUCUAUAUGUGUCGCUCUGGGGGAUAGGAAUGUGGGUGAUUUUUACUUUGUACUUCAAGCCAUUUAUAAUUAAAAUAAUCUGUUUAAUAGGAAAAUUAUACUAAUGUAUCUAUAUUUUUGGUCUGUUUUCUUACACUGAACAUAUAUUACAUUAAUGAGGGAAAAAAGAUAUUUUUCUCCGGACAGGAUGAGGUGGAGAAACCAUCAUUAAGAUGAAUAAAAU
Molecule: long non-coding RNA, 714 nt
Filed under: Homo sapiens (human)
Lineage: Eukaryota; Metazoa; Chordata; Mammalia; Primates; Hominidae
Description: HSALNT0336289
Source: RNAcentral